This is a long non-coding RNA of Wyeomyia smithii (pitcher-plant mosquito), 792 nucleotides long. RefSeq lists it as uncharacterized. The transcript is spliced from 3 exons. Lineage: Eukaryota; Metazoa; Arthropoda; Insecta; Diptera; Culicidae. The record is from RefSeq and is a predicted model, not a curated record.
AAUAAACAUCAGCGUGGUGGCAGUGCAGUUCAGUGUUCAGAAUAAUGAUUGAUUUGAUUACAGCACUUUGAGGGAGCUUCGAGCGUUAAAUGUGAUUAUACAAAUCGAUACGCGGACACAGCCAAAGUUCUGCAGCAGACCACUGAAUGGAACAGUAUCGAAGGUUGUCCGUCCAGAACCGCAUUUAGCAGCAGUAGUAGCAGUAACCAACCAACCAGCAUUGAUUGCUGCAAGCUUGGCCGAGCUGGAAUUUAGGAGUCGGAAUGGGUUUCCGAAUAACCCGUUCCGAGUGGAAGUGAAGGGUUUGCGUGAACAAGCGGAAUUUUAAUUAGAUUGCCGUUCCUCUUCUAUCCGAUUCGUACUCCUAUGGAAGAACAGACUUCAGGUCCAUUUGGUAUGAUUUUUGCUGCUCCUUCUGAAAAUCAACCAGUGCUAAAAACACCCUUAAGAUUCUAUAUGACCGACCACCGAGUACGGUACGGAACGGACUUCCAAACCAGAGCAAAUAUAGACUCCAAGGCAGGACAAGGUCGCUCAAAGCUGGAAGUCGGCGGGAAAGAAAACGGAUGAUAAUGUAUGCAUAAUCAUACCUCUUCGGAUGGGUGAACGGAAGCAGUGAGGCGUACCGAGCGGACUUGUUUUUUGCUGAUCUGCUGGUUUUGGCUGUCUGGCCAAAUUUGGGUCACCUAUCCAGUAGGCGGAUGGAUCACGGAAUGGUGGUAGGUCAAUGUUUUCAUUCUGUUCGUGUUGACACUAAUCUAUUGACUUUACCGGAACUUUGCAGUGAGUGAA